CCUACGGGAGGCAGCAGUGGGGAAUCUUAGACAAUGGGGGCAACCCUGAUCUAGCCAUGCCGCGUGAGUGAUGAAGGCCUUAGGGUCGUAAAGCUCUUUCGCCUGUGAUGAUAAUGACAGUAGCAGGUAAAGAAACCCCGGCUAACUCCGUGCCAGCAGCCGCGGUAAUACGGAGGGGGUUAGCGUUGUUCGGAAUUACUGGGCGUAAAGCGCGCGUAGGCGGAUUAGAAAGUUGGGGGUGAAAUCCCGGGGCUCAACCCCGGAACUGCCUCCAAAACUGCUAGUCUAGAGUUCGAGAGAGGUGAGUGGAAUUCCGAGUGUAGAGGUGAAAUUCGUAGAUAUUCGGAGGAACACCAGUGGCGAAGGCGGCUCACUGGCUCGAUACUGACGCUGAGGUGCGAAAGUGUGGGGAGCAAACAGGAUUAGAUACCCUGGUAGUCCACACCGUAAACGAUGAAUGCCAGUCGUCGGAUAGUAUACUAUUCGGUGACACACCUAACGGAUUAAGCAUUCCGCCUGGGGAGUACGGUCGCAAGAUUAAAACUCAAAGGAAU
RNAcentral lists this ribosomal RNA (554 nucleotides) under uncultured bacterium. RNAcentral describes it as "bacterial SSU rRNA". It matches the Rfam family "Bacterial small subunit ribosomal RNA", at positions 338 to 910 of the family's 1533-position model. The record is from RNAcentral.